AUGACCUCAUUGUCCGAUCUCAAGCACCUCAAACGGCUAUACUAUCUGGCUACCAACAAGUUCCUGCUCAUGGCCACCACCAUAACACUAGCAGCCGCCGUCCUCCUCCUACAAGCCGCACAACGGAUUGCCCCUAUAGACGAGCUUCUUUCCCAACUGCGUGAUCUCCAACCCAUCAACCUACUCUUGGCUGCCAUUCUUCCGACCGCCAUGCUUAGAAUCUACUCCUACCUCAUACGUCAUCCUAGAAAUGUGUACCUUGUCGAUUACGCUUGCUUCAGAACAAGCUACAAGUAUCGAGCCCCAAAGGCCACCUUCCUCGAGCAUGCACACAUCUCACCAUUCUUUGGCGAAUCUACCACUAAAUUCAUAGAACGUGUGAUUGAGCGCUCUGGCAUGGGUGAAGACACAUUGGUGCCACCUGCACUUUACUAUGUCGAGCCAGACUGUUCUCUAGAUGAAGGUCGCAGUGAGGCGGAGAUGGUCAUCUUCUCGACGAUCGAUGACCUAUUGGCCAAGACGUGCAUCGCCCUUGAUGCGAUCCACGUCCUAAUCACCAACUGCAGCCUGUUUUGCCCAGUGCCAUCCAUCGCCGACCGGAUCGUCAACGGGUAUGCGCUGCGAGACGACAUCCGCGUGAUCAACCUCUCCGGAAUGGGGUGCAGUGCAGGGGUGACCGCGGUGGGGCUCGCAAAGAACAUGCUGCAGAUCAUUCCUUCGGGAUCACAUGUGUUGGUGGUGUCCACGGAGACCCUUGGUCCGCAAUACUACAAGGGGAAUGUGCGUUCCAUGCACUUGGGAAACAUUUUGUUCCGUGUGGGUGGCAGCGCCAUGCUGUUAUCGACUUGUAAGCACAAGGCCCGGUUCAAGCUUGCACACGUCGAGCGGACGCUCGUCGGUGCAGAUGACGCUGCUUACCGGUGCGUUUACCAAGAGGAUGAUCCUGAGGGAAACAUAGGGCUCACUCUAUCAAAAGACCUCAUGGCCAUCGCCGGAGAAACGCUCAAGGCCAACAUGACCGCAAUCGGACCGCUCGUCCUACCAACCUCAGAGUUGAUCAAAUAUCUAUUUUCCAUGGCAAGAAAGGUGCUCCACCGGAGGAAGAUCAGGCCAUACAUCCCUGACUUCCGAAUGGCGUUUGAGCACUUCUGCAUCCAUGUUGGUGGACCAGCGGUGAUCGACUCCGUACAGCUUGGCCUCAGUCUAUCAGACGAGCAUGUUGAACCAUCGCGUAUGACGCUGCAUCGGUUUGGGAACCAAUCAAGUGCAUCCGUGUGGUACCAGUUGGCCUACAUCGAAGAUAAGGGCCGAAUGCGGAAGGGUGAUAGGGUGUGGAUGAUCGGGUUCGGAGCCGGGUACAAGUGCAACACCGCCGUGUGGGUGUGCAUCCAACCAUCCCCCAAUGCCAAUGGAUCAUGGGCUAGCUGCAUCCAUCGUUACCCAGUGGAUGUCUCCAAAGAAGGUGGUUCAGCUUAG
Molecule: ribosomal RNA, 1476 nt
Filed under: Triticum aestivum (bread wheat)
Lineage: Eukaryota; Viridiplantae; Streptophyta; Magnoliopsida; Poales; Poaceae
Description: partial small subunit ribosomal RNA
Source: RNAcentral